UGCUCGGCAACUGAUACUCUUUUUCUCCAGCUCGCGGCACCGCUGGCAGUCAGCUGUCAGCUCAAAAUACAUAAACAAGACAAGUAAAUACGAUUGCAGGAAGUUUAAGCAAAAACCGUCGAAUUGUCAGUUAAGCUUGGCAAAAUAUCAUCAAAAAGAUUAUAUCGCAUUUUUUAAGCCACAGACAUUACUUAGUACAAAUUGUUGAGAGAUGGCUGAGUUAGUUUUGGAGCGUACUUGCAGACUCGAUUCCUGUUUGUCUGCAGUUGGGAGUGCUAAGCUGGACAACACUGAAGCUAUCAUUAAAAGAUUUUUCAACUCUGCAAAGGACUUAAAUACUUACCUUUUGAAAGCUUAAAAUUUAUAUUUAUCACUUUAUUGUACAUUUACUUACCUUAAACCUUGAAAACUAUUGUGAAUUAUUUUGUAGCUGCCUCAUAGGCAAACGAGCAUUUUGUAAUUAUUUGGUCGCUAUCCUCGCAAACAGCCGGAUAGUAAUUGAAAUCCCGCUCUCAUACAAUUCAUAUAGUAUAUAAACCGAAUAAACUUUAGCGAUUAAUUUCCGAAA
Long non-coding RNA from Rhagoletis zephyria (snowberry fruit fly), 568 nucleotides. RefSeq lists it as uncharacterized. The record is from RefSeq and is a predicted model, not a curated record. Lineage: Eukaryota; Metazoa; Arthropoda; Insecta; Diptera; Tephritidae.